CCACCUUUGACAGGACAGGUCCCCUCCCUGCCCCGGCAAGGUCUUCCCCGCCCCCACCUUUAACAGGACUGGGCCCUCCCCGCUUCCUCUGGGACAGGUCCCCUCCCUGCCCCGGCAAGGUCUUCCCCGCCCCCACCUUUAACAGGACAGGGCCCUCCCCGCUUCCUCUGGGUCAGGUCCCCUCCCUGCCCCGGCAAGGUCUUCCCCGCCCCCACCUUUAACAGGACAGGGCCCUCCCCGCUUCCUCUGGGUCAGGUCCCCUCCCUGCCCCGGCAAGGUCUUCCCCGCCCCCACCUUUAACAGGACAGGGCCCUCCCCGCUUCCUCUGGGUCAGGUCCCCUCCCUGCCCCGGCAAGGUCUUCCCCGCCCCCACCUUUAAUAGGACAGGGCCCUCCCCCGCUUCCUCUGGGACAGGUCCCCUCCCUGCCCCAGCAAGGUCUUCCCCGCCCCCACCUUUAACAGGACAGGGCCCUCCCCGCUUCCUCUGGGUCAGGUCCCCUCCCUGCCCCGGCAAGGUCUUCCCCGCCCCCACCUUUAAUAGGACAGGGCCCUCCCCCGCUUCCUCUGGGACAGGUCCCCUCCCUGCCCCAGCAAGGUCUUCCGCGCCCGCACCUUUAACAGGACAGGUCCUCUCCCUGCCCCGGCAAGGUCUUCCCCGCCCCCACCUUUAACAGGACAGGUCCCCUCCCUGCCCCGGCAAGGUCUUCCCCACUUACCCCCCCAACACACACACACAGGCGCUGUCGUCACUAGCCCCGAAAGUGCAUCCUUUAGCCCGGCCAACCCGCGUUGGGGAACGCUUACGCGGAAGGGGUCUAGUGCUGAACGCGCCUAGCUCCAUGGGGAAAACAACCCAAUCCACUACCCUGUUCCAGCUGGGAAAAAUCACCCUUUUGUAGCGAAGGCAAAGCCUGAGUGGGAUGGGAGUCUUCCUCCCGCCCCCGUAUUUGCUCUUUUGCCUAUCAGCCACUAAAGCAAUGUCGCUCCACUUCCCCUCUGCUGUGCAUCAGGAACUUAUUGAUUGAUUUAGCAUUUGCAUAGUUGCCAGGCAGUAGCGUGGUUAGCGGCCCAGUGGAGCUCACUGCUGACUUUGGUGAGCAGGCACUCCUCGACAACGCAUAUUCUUGUUCAGUCUGCACCACAGCCACAGCUUGGAUUGUCUCCAAGACCCCAACGGUGCUGGCUGGCUGCACGAAGGCGUUGCCCAGUCCGGAAUCGGUUAAGAAGGUCCCCCUGCUGACAUGGCAGGUUGAAGCCAGACGGGCGAGCAGUAGGGUCUGUGACGAGGAACCCUUUGGUGGUUGAUGUUAAGCAGUAGUCUUCCCGCCACAUGGACUCCACUGUCACGUCCUGGCAUAGCAACCUCAACCAUCUGUCAUUACAGCACUGUAAGUCAAGAGCCACUCAAGGAUCAAACAGGAUUGAGACUGUUUUCAGGCCUUAUGUCUUUAGCAACUGUGACCUGCUGGAAAUUACUUGCUCCCCAAACCCUUAAACUGGCUCGUCUGCAAAAUGCUUCCAGCCUCUAGAGGAAGAGAGCAUCUGAACAUAUGGUAGCCAGUUUUCCCAUUGCUUCAUUAUUUGUACUGACAGAGAGCAAUAUUUUGAAAGCAAAAUUAUCUAAUAUAUAUGGGAGAGAAUAGGUCAAUGUCAAAAAGUUACCAUAACAGUUACAAUAGAAAAUAAUACAGAUUUAAAACACAAAUUUUGGAAGGGAUAAAACCCCCUCAUGCUUUCAGAAAUAAACCAAUCUGAUUGGGAUUAGAAAGAAACUUUCUCGGUUGUUUAUAACAACAUCUGACUGCAUCAGCUUCCUGUGAAGGUGGUGGUAACGGCUACAGUCAAAGGCAGGGUACUGGAUUAGACAGAUCUGUAGUCUGUGACAAUUGCUAUGUUCAUAUUGUUGUAUAUUUAAAAAGACUAUUUAAAAAUUACACUCCCGUCUAAAUUGGGGGUAGGGGUUAUGUUUUUCUUUUAGAUAAAAAACUAAGUCUGUACAUGGGUGCUGGAACCAGGGGUGCUGCCACACCCUUUGGCUUGAUGUAGUAACAACCACUCAGAUACAUGGUUUCUGCCUUCAGCGCCCCCACUAUAAAAAUCAUUUCACGAUAAAAACGGAGUCUGUAUAUCUUUAAAGAGAACAAAACUGGAGUUUUUCAGUUGGAUUUUGCUGUGCAUUUGCUGGCACUUAGCUGAAACAGACCAGGCGAGUGAGUGUGUGUGUAAAACCGCAACAUUUGGCAGGGACUCAAGGGCAGGUGUGGGCCUUCAGACACUAUGAAAAAGAGGAGGGAAAAACUAGAUUUCAAACUGACAGUCUCUUUUCCAGCAUGUCAUACAUCCAGACUGGAGAUACUAUUCUGCUGGAUCAGCUAACGUUUCUACAGCACUUUGAUAAUGUGAAGCAGCGGUAAGUAGCUUUGUAACUAGGAUUGAAAGGAUUAGAUUUUUUAUGAGUAAAUGUCAAUAAAUGCCGAUUUCACUGUACACACACCAACCAAUGAAAAUAUAUUAGAAAUAGAAAUUACAAAUAGGCAAAGAAAGAAAAAGCUUUGUUUAAAGAUAUUUCUUUGCAUAUGUUUGUCUUAUGAUGUUGACCAUUUGUGUUUUAAUGGUUAUAAAGCUUUAACUUUUUGAA
Chelonia mydas (Green sea turtle) is the source of this 2638-nucleotide long non-coding RNA. RefSeq lists it as uncharacterized. The record is from RefSeq and is a predicted model, not a curated record. Lineage: Eukaryota; Metazoa; Chordata; Testudines; Cheloniidae. The transcript is spliced from 2 exons.